This 398-nucleotide ribosomal RNA is filed under the name uncultured bacterium. RNAcentral's name for it is "partial 16S ribosomal RNA". It matches the Rfam family "Bacterial small subunit ribosomal RNA", at positions 523 to 918 of the family's 1533-position model. The record is from RNAcentral.
AUACGUAGGGUGCGAGCGUUGUCCGGAAUUACUGGGCGUAAAGAGCUCGUAGGUGGUUUGUCGCGUCGUCUGUGAAAUUCCGGGGCUUAACUCCGGGCGUGCAGGCGAUACGGGCAUAACUUGAGUACUGUAGGGGAGACUGGAAUUCCUGGUGUAGCGGUGAAAUGCGCAGAUAUCAGGAGGAACACCGGUGGCGAAGGCGGGUCUCUGGGCAGUAACAGACGCUGAGGAGCGAAAGCAUGGGUAGCGAACAGGAUUAGAUACCCUGGUAGGCCAUGCCGUAAACGGUGGGCGCUAGGUGUAGGGGUCUUCCACGACUUCUGUGCCGUAGCUAACGCAUUAAGCGCCCCGCCUGGGGAGUACGGCCGCAAGGCUAAAACUCAAAGGAAUUGACGGGG